Molecule: ribosomal RNA, 1174 nt
Filed under: uncultured fungus
Lineage: Eukaryota; Fungi
Description: eukaryotic LSU rRNA
Rfam family: Eukaryotic large subunit ribosomal RNA (bases 554-1174)
Source: RNAcentral
AAGUCGUAACAAGGUCUCCGUUGGUGAACCAGCGGAGGGAUCAUUACAGAGUUACCAAACUCACCAAAACCAUCGCGAACGUUACCCGUACCGUUGCCUCGGCGGGCGGCUCCAUCCCGGAGCCGCAGCCCCCUCACCGGGGCGGCCCGCCGGAGGUCAGCCGGAGAAAAACUCUUUGUCCUCUAGGGCCUCUCUGAGUAUUUUUGUACUAAACAAGUCAAAACUUUCAACAACGGAUCUCUUGGUUCUGGCAUCGAUGAAGAACGCAGCGAAAUGCGAUAAGUAAUGUGAAUUGCAGGAUUCAGUGAAUCAUCGAAUCUUUGAACGCACAUUGCGCCCGCCAGUAUUCUGGCGGGCAUGCCUGUUCGAGCGUCAUUUCAACCAUCAAGCCCGGCUUGUGUUGGGGACCCUGCGGCUGCCCGCAGGCCCCGAAAUCCAGUGGCGGGCUCGCUGUCACCCCGAGCGCAGUAGAGGUAGUAAUAACCACAUCCUCGCUCAGGGCCGUGAGGGCGGGCUCCAGCCGUUAAAGUGACUUUACCCCACAAAACAAGGUUGACCUCGGAUCAGGUGGGAGUACCCGCUGAACUUAAGCAUAUCAAUAAGCGGAGGAAAAGAAACCAACAGGGAUUGCCCUAGUAACGGCGAGUGAAGCGGCAACAGCUCAAAUUUGAAAUCUGGCCUCGGCCCGAGUUGUAAUUUGUAGAGGAAGCUUUUGGCGCGGCACCUUCUGAGUCCCCUGGAACGGGGCGCCAUAGAGGGUGAGAGCCCCGUAUAGUCGGAUGCCCAGCCUUUGUAAAGCUCCUUCGACGAGUCGAGUAGUUUGGGAAUGCUGCUCAAAAUGGGAGGUAAAUUUCUUCUAAAGCUAAAUACCGGCCAGAGACCGAUAGCGCACAAGUAGAGUGAUCGAGAGAUGAAAAGCACUUUGAAAAGAGGGUUAAACAGCACGUGAAAUUGUUGAAAGGGAAGCGCUUGUGACCAGACUUGCGCCGGGCUGAUCAUCCGGUGUUCUCACCGGUGCACUCUGCCCGGCUCAGGCCAGCAUCGGUUCACGCGGGGGGACAAAGGUCCUGGGAACGUAGCUCCUCCGGGAGUGUUAUAGCCCAGGGCGCAAUGCCCCCGCGGGGACCGAGGUUCGCGCUCUGCAAGGAUGCUGGCGUAAUGGUCACCAGCGACC